RNAcentral lists this ribosomal RNA (492 nucleotides) under uncultured Actinomycetaceae bacterium. RNAcentral's name for it is "bacterial SSU rRNA". It matches the Rfam family "Bacterial small subunit ribosomal RNA", at positions 888 to 1382 of the family's 1533-position model. The record is from RNAcentral. Lineage: Bacteria; Bacillati; Actinomycetota; Actinomycetes; Actinomycetales; Actinomycetaceae.
CCCGCUCAGAAACUUAAAGGAAUUGACGGGGCCCGCACAAGCGGCGGAGCAUGCGGAUUAAUUCGAUGCAACGCGAAGAACCUUACCAAGGCUUGACAUACACUGCGAUGUUCCAGAGAUGGGGCAGCCUUCGGGGUGGUGUACAGGUGGUGCAUGGUUGUCGUCAGCUCGUGUCGUGAGAUGUUGGGUUAAGUCCCGCAACGAGCGCAACCCUUGUCUCGUGUUGCCAGCACAUGAUGGUGGGGACUCACGAGAGACUGCCGGGGUUAACUCGGAGGAAGGUGGGGAUGACGUCAAAUCAUCAUGCCCCUUAUGUCUUGGGCUUCACGCAUGCUACAAUGGCCGGUACAGAGGGUUGCGAUGUCGUAAGGCUGAGCGAAUCCCUUAAAGCCGGUCUCAGUUCGGAUUGGGGUCUGCAACUCGACCCCAUGAAGUCGGAGUCGCUAGUAAUCGCAGAUCAGCAACGCUGCGGUGAAUACGUUCCCGGGCCUU